Molecule: long non-coding RNA, 787 nt
Filed under: Vitis vinifera (wine grape)
Lineage: Eukaryota; Viridiplantae; Streptophyta; Magnoliopsida; Vitales; Vitaceae
Description: long non-coding RNA (VVIN_LNC004174)
Source: RNAcentral
CCGUUCUUGAUUUGAGGACUAGUCUUAUUGUUUAUAAUCACACAAGAUUCUCUUUCCAACCUUAUAUCCUUUCAGGCAUGAUGUUUUUAGUCCCCAGUGACCUGCCAAAGUUAAUGCCAUAGGGAAGCAUCUUACAUGUCCCGCUGGUAAGAUCGGUCCCCUUGUAUUCAAGCUUCUUUUAUUCUUAUACGGGGGUCCUAUCCCCGAUUGUUCCCCAUCUCAAAACGUAAAGCCAAUUCAUCGAAGAACAACCUUCAAAGAAGCAGAUGGUUUGUCUGUCAAGGAACUCAUAACAAUACCAUAUAUUUACAGUACACCUCCAGAAAAAGAAACAGAUGAAAUUACAGUGGAUUUGAUUUGACAUACUCCACUCAAUACAGGGUACAGGGUGGUGACCAAAGUGUAGACGCUGACAGGAGAGAAUGGAAACAUGGGUGGGUCUGUAUUCCUUCAUAUUCCGUCAAAAUUCCAACAUAACUUGAACACCCUACUGAAAUUUUUGAACAAACCCUUAAUUUUCUGACAAGCUUUAUGCCUGUUUGUUGGCUAAAGUAUUUGACUUUAGGCCUACUCCUAUAGAAGGCUUGAAUACAAGGGGACAAUCUUGGGACAAUCUUUGCAACACUCUGAGCUGAUUCAUAAAACAGUUAUGCAAAACUACAUGUGGACUUUUUUUUUUUUUGAUAGGUAAAACUACAUGUGGACUCUGCAACAAGAAUAUUUAACUAAGACCUAAUCUAAUGAACCAUUGAUCUUAAUCUUGGGAACCAAUAACAGAAUGAGGCUA